CCUACGGGCGGCUGCAGUGGGGAAUAUUGGACAAUGGGGGGAACCCUGAUCCAGCCAUGCCGCGUGUGUGAAGAAGGCCCUCGGGUUGUAAAGCACUUUCAGUGAGGAAGAACGCCUGGUGGUUAAUACCCAUCAGGAAAGACAUCACUCACAGAAGAAGCACCGGCUAACUCCGUGCCAGCAGCCGCGGUAAUACGGAGGGUGCGAGCGUUAAUCGGAAUUACUGGGCGUAAAGCGCGCGUAGGUGGCUUGAUAAGCCGGUUGUGAAAGCCCCGGGGUCAACCUGGGAACGGCAUCCGGAACUGUCAAGCUAGAGUGCAGGAGAGGAAGGUAGAAUUCCCGGUGUAGCGGUGAAAUGCGUAGAGAUCGGGAGGAAUACCAGUGGCGAAGGCGGCCUUCUGGACUGACACUGACACUGAGGUGCGAAAGCGUGGGUAGCAAACAGGAUUAGAUACCCCAGUAGUC
RNAcentral lists this ribosomal RNA (465 nucleotides) under Vreelandella stevensii. RNAcentral's name for it is "partial 16S ribosomal RNA". It matches the Rfam family "Bacterial small subunit ribosomal RNA", at positions 338 to 795 of the family's 1533-position model. The record is from RNAcentral. Lineage: Bacteria; Pseudomonadati; Pseudomonadota; Gammaproteobacteria; Oceanospirillales; Halomonadaceae.